RNAcentral lists this non-coding RNA (104 nucleotides) under human gut metagenome. RNAcentral's name for it is "SAM riboswitch (S box leader)". It matches the Rfam family "SAM riboswitch aptamer (S box leader)". From Rfam's summary of the family: The SAM riboswitch is found upstream of a number of genes which code for proteins involved in methionine or cysteine biosynthesis in Gram-positive bacteria. The SAM riboswitch acts at the level of transcription termination control. The record is from RNAcentral.
CCUUAUCAAGAGAGGUGGAGGGACUGGCCCGAUGAAACCCAGCAACCAGUAUAUUUUAUAUACAAGGUGCUAAAUCCUGCAAUUCAUAAGAAUUGAAAGAUGAG